AACGCGAAGAACCUUACCUGGUCUUGACAUCCCCCUGAAAGCGCAGUAAUGUGCGUGUUCCUUCGGGACAGGGGAGACAGGUGGUGCAUGGUUGUCGUCAGCUCGUGUCGUGAGAUGUUGGGUUAAGUCCCGCAACGAGCGCAACCCUUAUCCUUAGUAGCCAGCACGUUAUGGUGGGCACUCUGGGGAGACUGCCGGGGAUAACCCGGAGGAAGGCGGGGAUGACGUCAAAUCAUCAUGCCCCUUAUGGCCAGGGCUACACACGUGCUACAAUGGCGUAAACAAAGGGAAGCGAAGUGGUGACACGGAGCAAAUCCCAAAAAUAACGUCUCAGUUCGGAUUGUAGUCUGCAACUCGACUACAUGAAGCCGGAAUCGCUAGUAAUCGCGGAUCAGAAUGCCGCGGUGAAUACGUUCCCGGGUCUUGUACACACCG
RNAcentral lists this ribosomal RNA (435 nucleotides) under uncultured bacterium. RNAcentral's name for it is "bacterial SSU rRNA". It matches the Rfam family "Bacterial small subunit ribosomal RNA", at positions 958 to 1392 of the family's 1533-position model. The record is from RNAcentral.